UACGGAGGAUGCAAGCGUUAUCCGGAAUGAUUGGGCGUAAAGCGUCCGCAGGUGGCAAUGUAAGUCUGCUGUUAAAGAGUCUAGCUCAACUAGAUAAAAGCAGUGGAAACUACAUAGCUAGAGUACGUUCGGGGCAGAGGGAAUUCCUGGUGUAGCGGUGAAAUGCGUAGAGAUCAGGAAGAACACCAGUGGCGAAGGCGACACGCUGGGCCGUACCUGACACUGAUGCGCGACAGCAUGGGGAGCAAACAGG
RNAcentral lists this ribosomal RNA (253 nucleotides) under uncultured bacterium. RNAcentral describes it as "partial 16S ribosomal RNA". It matches the Rfam family "Bacterial small subunit ribosomal RNA", at positions 524 to 776 of the family's 1533-position model. The record is from RNAcentral.